ACAUACCUUUAACGUUGCCUCGGCGGGACCGCCCCGGCGCCCACUCGCGGCCCGGACCCAGGCGCCCGCCGGAGGACCCAAACUCUUGCUUUGAACAGUGGCAUACUCUCUGAGUCUCACAAACAAAAAUGAAUCAAAACUUUCAACAACGGAUCUCUUGGCUCUGGCAUCGAUGAAGAACGCAGCGAAAUGCGAUAAGUAAUGUGAAUUGCAGAAUUCAGUGAAUCAUCGAAUCUUUGAACGCACAUUGCGCCCGCCAGCAUUCUGGCGGGCAUGCCUGUCCGAGCGUCAUUUCAACCCUCAGGACCCCUUCGGGGGACCUGGUGUUGGGGGCCGGCCGCCUCGCGCGCCGCCCCCGAAAUGCAGUGGCGACCUCGCCGCAGCCUCCCCUGCGUAGUAGCACAACCUCGCACCGGAGCGCGGAGACGGUCACGCCGUAAAACGCCCAACUUUCACGAGUUGACCUCGGAUCAGGUAGGAAUACCCGC
Molecule: ribosomal RNA, 488 nt
Filed under: Hypocreales sp. MS562
Lineage: Eukaryota; Fungi; Ascomycota; Sordariomycetes; Hypocreales
Description: eukaryotic LSU rRNA
Rfam family: 5.8S ribosomal RNA (bases 138-291)
Source: RNAcentral